CGGCCGCGUCGACGAGAUGUUGGGUUAAGUCCCGCAACGAGCGCAACCCUCGUGUUUAGUUGCCAUCAUUAAGUUGGGCACUCUAAACAGACUGCCGGUGACUAAACCGGAGGAAGGUGGGGAUGACGUCAAGUCAGCAUGCCCCUUACGUCCUGGGCUACACACGUACUACAAUGGUAGGGACAGAGGGCAGCCAACCCGCGAGGGCGAGCUAAUCCCGUAAACCCUGCCUCAGUUCAGAUUGCAGGCUGCAACUCGCCUGCAUGAAGGCGGAAUCGCUAGUAAUCGCAGGUCAGCAUACUGCGGUGAAUCCGUUCCC
Molecule: ribosomal RNA, 319 nt
Filed under: uncultured Phormidium sp.
Lineage: Bacteria; Bacillati; Cyanobacteriota; Cyanophyceae; Oscillatoriales; Oscillatoriaceae
Description: bacterial SSU rRNA
Rfam family: Bacterial small subunit ribosomal RNA
Source: RNAcentral